CAUCAACUGCGUCAGGGCAUUGCAGCUGCCCAAGGCUGCAUCUGGUGUUUUGUGGGCUUCUUCAUGCCGGAGAAGGGGCAGAGUCCAUUUUCCAGGAGACAAAGUUGUGGUGUGCACAGAGCCCCGGAGCCCUGUGAGCCCGGGCGACACCCCAAGCGGCGCCUGCAUAUGACUCAGCCCCGGGGCGGAGCUGUUAGAGGAGAGAGGAGAGAGGAGAGAGGAGAGAGGAGAGACGAGAGACGAGAGACGAGAGACGAGAGACGAGAGACGAGAGACGAGAGACGAGAGAGGAGAGAAGAGGAGAGGAGAAGGCAGCGCGCCCGGAGCAGAGAGCCGGGGCUGGCAGGGGCAGUGAGACGCAGGCGGCGGAGCGGCGGGAUGCGGCGGUGCCGGGUUGCAGGGCUCGCGGGACUGGCCGCGGUGCUGCUGGUGACCACGGGAAGGGCCCAGGUGCAGCAGGAGCCGUCGGCAGAGGCCUCCGAGGGCACCGAAAUCAGCAUCAACUGCUCACACCCCAACAUACAGACCAGUAAUUUCAUCUUCUGGUACCGUCUCCUCCCGGGCCGAGGUCCCGAACUCCUUGUGAGUAGCCAUAAAGGAAUUAAAGCGCUGUCGGACCCGCCGGGGCAGCUGUCUGUGGCGACAGACCGCCGGUCCAGCGCCCUGUGGCUCGAACGGCCCCGGCGCGGGGACGCGGCGGUGUAUUACUGCGCCGUGGGAGACACAGGGAGAGGAGCCGGGGCUGCGGCCGGACACGAACCGCCGCGGGCGGGGCCGGGCGGGUGUGGCGGUGGAUGGGAGAACCCCUGGCCGGGCCCGCCAGGGGGCGCUGCCGCUCUGCCCGCCUCGCCCCGCCCGGCCUCGGGAAGGUUUCCCCGCCUGAUCUGCAGCGGGAUCGCAUCGGCACCAGCCGCACUCCCUCCGGGAUGCCUGCAGGAAUAACGGCCGCGAUAUCAUAACCGUGUGAAGGCAGCACAAUCCCUUGUCCCAUAAUUCGAUAUUUGCAUGAAUGGCUAAAUGAGCUCUUCACUGUCUCUUAGAGAUCAUCAGUUAAAUUGUUCUUCUUGUGCAAAAGCAGGAAUAAACACAUAAGAUGAGAA
Columba livia (rock pigeon) is the source of this 1100-nucleotide long non-coding RNA. RefSeq lists it as uncharacterized. NCBI's taxonomy places the organism in Eukaryota, Metazoa, Chordata, Aves, Columbiformes, Columbidae. The transcript is spliced from 2 exons. The record is from RefSeq and is a predicted model, not a curated record.